UUUGUUUGUUUGUUUGUUCAUUUCUUUUCUCAGUUCCUCGAGGUAUUUGGGAUCAUGAGUAACUUGUAGCUGCAUAAAACAUGCUGCGUUACAAUAUGGAUAAUUGGUAGCACUGAAUUUCAGAGGCUGCCUAAUAGAUGUGGAAGGGGUGGAAAUCUUUGGAGUGGUCUGUGUAAUCUCAGCAGACAGCAGCACAGAAUCACUUCCAGCAGUCCUUUGCCAGAGCAGUGCUGUGUGUUUUAGAGGCAGGGUAUCUGCAUGAGGGUCACAGCUGACAGUUUAGACAAGGAGCCCGAUCUUUGUUGACCUGGACUUUUGUAAUGAUCCAUGAGAGCUGUGUGAGCCUGUUUCAUGCCCAUACUGCUGUAAAUAGCAGGAUGAAAGGCACACACCAGAAAUUCUCUGUCUUUCCACUGGCAGCAUUCUGUCUGUUUUAUGGAGGUACAUGAUUGCAAAGCAGUGGAAAAAUUGACUUUGCUGCACAUCAUUAUAAAUGUCUCCUGUCUCUGCCCAGGUCAUAGAAGGGGAGAGAAGGAGAGGACUUUAAAUUUGGAUUUUUUUGUCCCUCAAAAAGCCUAAAAGAUCAAUGUUUUUUACUGUUUAUAUUUAGCCCAAGAAAACUUCUCACACUCUUGUUGUUUAUUUUAAAAAUCUUUGGAUUUUCAGUACCAAUCAGUAGAGAAAUUGCAGCUAUAUUUAAUAAAUGUUUUAUUGUAGUUUGUUCCUAUGUGGAAGCUGAAGGUCAUGUUUCAAGAUGAUUUUUGUCUGAACUUCUGCCUGGUAUAAACAUGGGUUCAUUUGUUAAAAUAGUGUUCAGUAUAUUGAAGAAUUCAAUUUGUACUCCUUUGCAUGUCUCUUAAUUAAUAUCUAGCCAAAAUGUUUGUAUUUUGUUACUUGCUACAUGGAGGUGUCUGGCAGGGAGUUUCAAGAAGGCAAUAAUGACUGGAUUCAUGUGUUUAAGACCUGAUGUCUUGGUGGCUUCUGUGUAGUGAUUUGGUAGUAUUGAAUUUUAUACUAGAGACUUUAUUUUUGGUGGUUCUGAACUCCCAUUGCAAAGGUGGGGAUUGACAAUUAAUAUCUUGUAGUCCUGUCUUCAGUGGAAUUUUGCAUGCUGAAGGCACUCCCUUUGAUAUUCCUGGGGUUGAGCUGGGAUUGCUGGGCCCACCUGAGAAGUAGGCUGCUUCUCCUUCCUUAUUUAAAAAAAAAAAAAACAUGGUAGAAGAAAAAGUGUGUAUUAUGAUGACUUCAGGAAAAAAUAUAUAAUAUCUCAAAUAACCUGUUUAACCUCUCAAAUAAACUACUGUUUAUAUUCCCCAAACCCUAGGUGCAAACUAGCAGUGGGAUGCAGGCACUCCUUGGAUCUCCUCCUGCAGAGGGUUGGGUGCUGGCUGGCUGAACCCCUCUGCCCUGGCUUUGCAGUAAUGCUCCUGGACAUCAGCUUCAUGCUCUGUGUGUGUCAGGAAUGAUCCAGGGAUUUGGUUUGUUCUUGUGGCAGAAAGCAUUCUUGAGAGGCUCCUCACCGCAUAGGCCCUCACACUUAUGUUUUGACAGGAUCUCUUCUCACACUGUCAUGUUCUCAAAGUCUCUCUUGCUUGAAGACUCUUAUGUAAGGAGUAUGGAACUGAAAUAAAUGCUGAGGGCUAAACAGGUCCUGACUUGAUCAGUACACAAACACAUUGUCUCGCUUGUCUGAGAAUGGCCUUUUUUGCUUCCUGGCUAAAUAAAUGAUGUGUCUUCCUCCAAUGGGGAUAUAGGGCUGAGUAUGUCCACACCUUUUGUAAGCAUACUGUCUGGCAGUGCUGGCUGGCAGCAAGAAAAGGCCCUUGGCACAUCAUCUUUGAUGGUGAAGUGUCCUGGAUACAGAGAAGCAGGAAGAGGGAUUAUUUUGCAAAGGUACAAGCUACUCUGAUCCUCUUGGGGCUGGGUGACUUCCCACCACACUUUCCUUGGGGAUGUGCUGAAAUGCCAUAGACUAGCCCACAUGCUUCUGCUUGAAAAUUUAAACCUCCAGGCAUGAAUAACUUACUGGAAUUAAUCUUCAACUGUUGUCGUCCAGUAUUGAAAUAUUAAUGUGGCUGAUCAGAGUGAGGCAGUGCAACCAUGGUGGUCUUGCAAAAUAGCGCAUCACACAAGUGACAUUCCCUAACGUGAGUCAAUGUUUGUUCUUCUGUAAAAGACAUUCUAACAUUUUUCUUCUAACUGCCAGGCUAAAUGGCUUGUGCAGGCCCAACCUCUGCACAGAAAACAGCACAUCUGUGGUGAACAGCAAACAUCAAGAAGCAGCAUUUGAAGGGGGAAGGAGUAGUAAUGGAAGUGCAAGAAGGUUCCCUGGAGGUGAUGAAACUUCUGAGAUGCUGCAAGUUUAGCAAGACCUGUCCUUUCCUUUGUCAGCCAUGCAGUCAGUGUAGCACUGGGAAAGAAACAUCACCAGGAUUUGAAUGAAGUGAUCCUUCCAGGGAACAAAUGACCUGGUAGUUCUCAGAGUGGCAGGCAUCUACACUGAAGCAUUCUGAAUUUCAUUGGGCAUGGUGCCUGUGACUGAUUACAAAAUCUGCUGCUGAAGCAACUUCUAGAGGUGGUAGAAGACCUGCGGUUGUGGAUCCUUUGCACAUAUAAAUGUUAUUGUGUGUGUCUGUUUGACCAUGGUAGGAUAUUUAAUGUAUCAUAGAAACAAGUUUUGUAUCUCCAGUUUCAGUGUCCCUCUCAUCAUAGAGCCUUCCUUUCAAACAUAUUGUCCUUUGUUUGAGCUUUUAAAAAUAGAAGAAAAAAAACCCCCAAACCUUGAAAAAUUGUAACACUCUAUGAAAAAUAUACACUAUUGUCAUGUUCUGGGGAAAAGGGGAACUUUACUGUGUGCGCUGUUAUUGUAAGUGAAAUGUGGUGUACAGCAUGCUAAGUAGCUGCUCAGUCAAAUGUCAGUGUGAAUUCAGAAAUCCUCAGAAGAGGAAAGAAAUAAAUAUUUUUAUUUUCUCUAAAA
This is a long non-coding RNA of Passer montanus (Eurasian tree sparrow), 2977 nucleotides long. RefSeq lists it as uncharacterized. The transcript is spliced from 3 exons. Lineage: Eukaryota; Metazoa; Chordata; Aves; Passeriformes; Passeridae. The record is from RefSeq and is a predicted model, not a curated record.